GAUGAACGCUGGCGGCGUGCCUAAUACAUGCAAGUCGAGCGAACAGACGAGGAGCUUGCUCCUCUGACGUUAGCGGCGGACGGGUGAGUAACACGUGGAUAACCUACCUAUAAGACUGGGAUAACUUCGGGAAACCGGAGCUAAUACCGGAUAAUAUAUUGAACCGCAUGGUUCAAUAGUGAAAGACGGUUUUGCUGUCACUUAUAGAUGGAUCCGCGCCGCAUUAGCUAGUUGGUAAGGUAACGGCUUACCAGGGCGACGAUGCGUAGCCGACCUGAGAGGGUGAUGGGCAACGCUGGAAGUGAGAGAAGAUCCAGACGAAUAGGGGAGGCAGCAGUAGGGCAGCGGCCGAAAUGGGCGAAAGAUUGACGGAGCAAAGAAGUGUGAUUGAUGAAGAUAUUAGGAUCGUAAAACACUGUUAACAGGGAAGAACAAAUGUGUAAGUAACCAUGCACUUCUUGACGGCACCCAACCAGAAAGACAGGGCUAAAUACGUG
This 497-nucleotide ribosomal RNA is filed under the name uncultured bacterium. RNAcentral describes it as "partial 16S ribosomal RNA". It matches the Rfam family "Bacterial small subunit ribosomal RNA", at positions 28 to 507 of the family's 1533-position model. The record is from RNAcentral.